RNAcentral lists this ribosomal RNA (253 nucleotides) under uncultured bacterium. Its description in RNAcentral is "partial 16S ribosomal RNA". It matches the Rfam family "Bacterial small subunit ribosomal RNA", at positions 524 to 776 of the family's 1533-position model. The record is from RNAcentral.
UACGUAGGGGGCGAGCGUUGUCCGGAAUCAUUGGGCGUAAAGGGCGCGUAGGCGGCCUUUUAAGUCAGGUGUGAAAACCUAAGGCUCAACUUUAGGCCUGCAUCUGAAACUAGAAGGCUUGAGGACAGGAGAGGGAAGUGGAAUUCCAAGUGUAGCGGUGAAAUGCGUAGAUAUUUGGAAGAACACCGGUGGCGAAGGCGGCUUUCUGGACUGUAACUGACGCUGAGGCGCGAAAGCCAGGGGAGCGAACGGG